CCUACGGGCGGCAGCAGUGGGGAAUAUUGCACAAUGGGGGAAACCCUGAUGCAGCGACGCCGCGUGAGUGAAGAAGUAUUUCGGUAUGUAAAGCUCUAUCAGCAGGGAAGAAAAUGACGUUACCUGAUUAAGAAGCCCCGGCUAACUACGUCCCAGCAGCCGCGGUAAUACGUAGGGGGCAAGCGUUAUCCGGAUUUACUGGGUGGAAAGGGAGCGUAGACGGCAGCACAAGUCUGGAGUGAAAUGCCGGGGCUUAAGCCCGGAACGGCUUGGGAAACUGUGCAGCUAGAGUGCAGGAGAGGUAAGUGGAAUGCCUGGUGUAGCGGUGAAAUGCGUAGAUAUUAGGAGGAACACCAGUGGCGAAGGCGGCUUACUGGACUGUAACUGACGUUGAGGCUCGAAAGCGUGGGGAGCAAACAGGAUUAGAUACCCGAGUAGUC
RNAcentral lists this ribosomal RNA (440 nucleotides) under uncultured bacterium. Its description in RNAcentral is "partial 16S ribosomal RNA". It matches the Rfam family "Bacterial small subunit ribosomal RNA", at positions 338 to 795 of the family's 1533-position model. The record is from RNAcentral.